GGCCUUGUAGUUGAAUAACAACAAUUAGUUGCAGCCUUUUGGGUGGGGAAAUUUCCCCUGAGGUCU
This 66-nucleotide transfer RNA is filed under the name Mimachlamys nobilis (noble scallop). RNAcentral's name for it is "tRNA-Cys". The record is from RNAcentral. Lineage: Eukaryota; Metazoa; Mollusca; Bivalvia; Pectinida; Pectinidae.